AAAAAGUUAGUUAAUAUAUAACUUAAAAUUGUCAAUUUUAAAUAACUAAUUUAUAGUACUUUUUU
RNAcentral lists this transfer RNA (65 nucleotides) under Sepiella inermis (spineless cuttlefish). RNAcentral's name for it is "tRNA-Asp". Lineage: Eukaryota; Metazoa; Mollusca; Cephalopoda; Sepiida; Sepiidae. The record is from RNAcentral.